AUAUUUAGCUGGCAGGGGAGAGACCUUGAUCACAGAGGUGGUUUUCCCAGGGCGAGGCUUAUCCAUUGCACGCGGGAUGUGCUGACCCCUGCGAUUUCCCCAAACUUGGGGAACUCUGCUGCAAAACUUAUGGUGGUGGGGGACUGUGUUCCUGCUCUCCCCUG
Small nuclear RNA from Phyllostomus discolor (pale spear-nosed bat), 164 nucleotides. RefSeq annotates it as U1 spliceosomal RNA. The transcript has a single exon. The record is from RefSeq and is a predicted model, not a curated record. Lineage: Eukaryota; Metazoa; Chordata; Mammalia; Chiroptera; Phyllostomidae.